This 274-nucleotide ribosomal RNA is filed under the name uncultured bacterium. RNAcentral's name for it is "partial 16S ribosomal RNA". It matches the Rfam family "Bacterial small subunit ribosomal RNA", at positions 523 to 796 of the family's 1533-position model. The record is from RNAcentral.
AUACGGAGGGGGUUAGCGUUGUUCGGAAUUACUGGGCGUAAAGCGCACGUAGGCGGAUUGGAAAGUUGGGGGUGAAAUCCCAGGGCUCAACCCUGGAACUGCCUCCAAAACUAACAGUCUAGAGUUCGAGAGAGGUGAGUGGAAUUCCAAGUGUAGAGGUGAAAUUCGUAGAUAUUUGGAGGAACACCAGUGGCGAAGGCGGCUCACUGGCUCGAUGCUGACGCUGAGGUGCGAAAGCGUGGGGAGCAAACAGGAUUAGAAACCCUAGUAGUCC